The sequence is a Y RNA, 98 nucleotides long. It matches the Rfam family "Y RNA". From Rfam's summary of the family: Y RNAs are components of the Ro ribonucleoprotein particle (Ro RNP), in association with Ro60 and La proteins. The Y RNAs and Ro60 and La proteins are well conserved, but the function of the Ro RNP is not known. The record is from Ensembl.
GGUUGGUCCAAGUGCAGUGGAGCUUACCAUUAAGUGAUCACUGCCAGUUACAGAUUUCUUCGUUCCUUCUCCACUCUCACUGCUUCACUUGACUUUAA